UCUAGACUAGUUUCUACAUCAAUAAGAUGUUCAUCCGAAUAGGAGAUAGUAACUGAAGGUUCAUCCAUAUAAAAAAGGGUUAGACCGCCACUUCGAUCUCUCGGUUCAACAGUGAAAACAUGAUCAUAUCCAAAAUGAACUUGCAUGUCUUGCAGAAAGUAACGCUUAUUUUUGGUCUCCGACAAAAAUAGAAAUUUCGGUUGAAAACAUUUGUAAAGUUCUUCCAAAUGAUCUUUUGUCAAAUCCGAACCAGCUCCUUGACAAUUCCACCCGAUGUCGUUCAUUUGCAAUAUGAUUUUAAAUUAUCAGAUCCAUACAAGCCCAAUGGCUAACAUUAAAAUCUUGGGUUUAGCCCAGAAUUGAAAUUAGACCCGCUAAUUUGCUUGCCCAGUAAACAAUAACUAUUAGGUCAAAAACAAAAGAUCACCGUCGCCGCUGAAGUGUCUCCGAUGAACAGUAACCACCGCCGCCGUUGUUGUCUGAAAGAUGGUGAACUCUGUAGAUCUGACGUUUUAGAAGCUAUCUUGAGCUUUGCCGUCGUCGAAGGAGAACCACGAAGACACCAUUGGAGAUAUUAGAUAGAUCUCAAAGCUUCCCACAACAAAAAAUUUGAAAAUUAUGUAACAGAUGAAAGUCUUAGCACUAGGCUAGAUGCAGAAAAACAAAUGUUAUAUAAUUUAUUGUUGUCGAUGGAAGAAGAAGAAGAAGGAGGUGGAGAGAAACACAAACACUGAAAUUGGAGUUCGCCACGUCACGACGAUACUGUAUCGUCAGGAUCGUCGGGAAGAGACAGUAUCGUCGAAAUUAACCCAUUUUCUUUUUUUUUAAUUGGGUUUUGCCUAUGAUUCUGGGCCUGAACCCGGCUUGAUAUUCUAAUGGACGUGCUCUAAGUGGUAGUGUUCAAUUCCUAGAGAAUGCAAAUUAAAAAAUGAGAUCAAAGUUUCUGGAGAUUUCCAAGCGAUGCAAGCACAGCCAAUCGUCGUGGUUCAGCAUGUCAAGGGUAAAGUGUUCCAUUAUGAGCAUGGUGCAUGUAGAUUGUUGAUCGUGGAUAUUUAUAAGAUGGUAGAAUUGUCUGUUAUAAAAUCGAUUAUAUAACUAUUUUUUAUAAUUUAUAAUUGAUUAUUUUUUAGAUGAUUCAAAAAAAAGAUUUGGAAAUUUUUAUGGAGAAAAAAUAGAUGCUGAAUGAAAAUAGAAUUUUUUUUAAAAGGCAUUAAACUUACAUUCUCUGUAAGAAAUCUGCAUAAAUGCAAGACACUUAUAGUAUGCGAAAACUAUUAUACACCGUAUAUAGAGUAUACGAAUAACCCCUUUUGCUAUUUAAAAAUUUUUCAGUCGUCAAUUUUUUUAAUCAAAAGAAAACUCAUAAUUCGAUUAUAUAACGAAAGUAACUUUCUCUACCUUGCUUUAAGAUAAAGCUGACGCAUAAAACAGAUGAAGUAUACAGUAUUCUAAAAUGAUUUUUAAUGGUUUAUUAAAAUAUUUUAAUUAAAUUAAUUAAUGAGUUAUAUAUAACCUUUAGUAUAUAUUUAUUAAACCUAGUAAAUUAUGCACGGGUUAAAAAAUAUGCUCAUCUUUUUAAUGUAAUUUAUCAGAAAAUAUGUCAUUUGCCACUGUAAUAAAAAUCAAAAGAAAUUUAAAAUAAUAACAAAUGUACUUGAAACUCUUUGUCAGAUACUCCUUCUAUACAUCGAAUUUGGACAUCCUGAAUUCUUGAUAAUUAUAAAAGGAAGAAAAAAAAAAAAAAGAUAAAAUGGAAAAGAAGGAGAGAAAGACAAAAAACAAAUAAGUUUAAUUACAUCAUAAAAAUCAUUGAGAUCGAUCUAGUGUUCAAUUUGUUUGUCGCUCUAUUCAUCUUUUCUUUUCUCCCAAAAACUAAACCAUAGAAGCAACAAAUCUCAAAGCCAAUUUCUAAAUCCUUUUGAAAGAUACAGAGAGAAACGAUGAAUAGAGGAGUGUUAGAGAGUUCGCCGGUACAACACCUCACGGCGGCUGAAAACCCUAACUGGUGGAAUAAAGUAAGCGGUGGCUUGAUGAGACCACCGUCGCAGCAGCCGCCUUCUACCACCUACUCUCUUCUGGACCCUUAUAUUGUUGUUAUGAUACUCUUGGCUUGCAGGGGGAUGCCCAAAAGCCUACCACCCUUCUUGUGUAGAUCGAGAUGAACUAAUCAAUUAUAUAACAGUAGCAAAAUCAUUUUGCUACUGUUAUAUAAUUUAUUGUUGUCGAUGGAAGAAGAAGAAGGAGGUGGAGAGAAACACAAACACUGAAAUUGGAGUUCGCCACGUCACGACGAUACUGUAUCGUCAGGAUCGUCGGGAAGAGACAGUAUCGUCGAAAUUAACCCAUUUUCUUUUUUUUUAAUUGGGUUUUGCCUAUGAUUCUGGGCCUGAACCCGGUGGAUGUGGUCGAAAGAGCCCUACAUUCAACACAAAGUGUUAGCAAAGAGUUGGUGAGGAUACAAAGAUGAGAGAACACAACAAACUGAACUAAAAAACAAAGUAAUAUACAUAAAUAACUAACCUCAUUAAUCCAUUCCAGGCAAGCAUAAUACUUGCGACCGGCGGUGUUUUCUUUGAGCUUCACAUCCCUGCUGCAGAAGCACUUCUCCGGUAUGCCAUAAGUGGCAUCCGCGUAAGCCCAGUAAGGAACCUCUGAACCUUCUUCAGAUGAACCGCUGUUGUAGCUUGGCAUGAUCUGCCACAAAACAAUAUGAUCAGCAAAACGAUAUGAACUCACACGAUUACAAUAUGAUAUGAACUUAUGCAAUAUGAUCAUAUCAUCUACUAAUAUAUAGCAAGCAACAAAUGAUUUAGAAGCCAAUCAUAUAACCAAAAUGAACUCACACGAUUAACCAUUUCAACUCACAUAAGCGAUUAACCAGUUCAGUUCAGAUUCGAUAAUGCCAUACUUAAUUUCAAUAGGAUCAUAUCAUAUACUCAUAUAAAUCAACCAACAAAUGAAUUAAAAAGGCAACCAUAUUAACUCACACGAUAUCCUAAACAAAUAAUCAUCUCCGCAAAUGGCUUUUAACAUACACACGAAUCUUGAUAAUGUAUCGAGAGUGACCCAGUUUGAAUACCAACACAAACCCCCAAAUAAACCCCCGAGAUAGAAAAAACUUAUUUCAUCGCAACAAUAUUAAGAUUUUCAAUCUUAAAACCAUGAAAUCGUAUUCGAAAUAAGGAUAUGACGGUUUUAAAUGAACGAAUUAGACGCCAAUUGCAAUCCCAAAUGAAAGCCCCAAAAUUUGUAAACAAUUUCGAAAACCCUAAUUUCAACGAAUCUAUUUGUUUCAUAUCUCCCAAAUUUGUGCCGCAUACUAGAUUUGGGGUACCAAAGACGAGACUCGAACCUCUAAUUCACCGAAAUCGAACAAAAAAAACCCUGAUUUCAAUCCGAUUUUUUUUCUCCAAAAAUCACAAACCCUAGAAUCCCGAAAUCGAAAUCAACAAUUAAAACUACAAAGAAUCGAAGCUUACCAGGACUAUGGGGACGGAAUGUCGAUGUUUGGAUUGCACCUCCACCGGGAUUAAUCGACGGAACCGGCGGUGACGAUGGAAUCGCCCUGAAUCGCCAAAGAACACGAAGGAGAGAAGAAAAAAUCAGGGAAAGAGAAAAUGAAUUGUUUCCGCGUUUUUUUUUCCCCAAAAUGAUGCGUUUUUCACAGCCAAUCGCCUUACGCCACGUGGUUCGCAUGUGGAGUCUUCAAGUUCGACGGGAUGAACCGAUACUUCCGAGUUGGGCCAUUUUUCUUUUUUUUUUUAAACCUAAAAUCUUAUGAUUUUGUGCCCAAAAUUGUGGAAGACCCUCUAAUGGACCUGGUCUUAUGUGUUGUAGUUAGUUUUAGAUGUUUUCUUUUUUUUUCCAUAGAAUUAUAAAGUUAAAAAAAUCAUAUAAUAAUAAAAACUGUCUGUAAAAAAUUAUAGUUUUAAGAAAAUCAUUUUAAAAAAAACACUUGAUUAAGUGUUUAAACGAAUUUUUGAAAAUAAAACUAAAAAAUCAGCUAAACUAAAAAUGAUCAAAUGAGUUUUAAGAAAAAAUAAAUUAAAAUUCAUCUAAAAUUCUUCUUUAGCCAUAAUAAGUUUUUGUUUUUGUAAUGUUUUUGUUACAUUUUUGAUUGAGUGUUAGAAUUACUAGGGAAUUUUUGCGAAUAAAAGAACAUUGGAGGCCAAAGCCGUUAUUUUUAAGCAGUGCUUCUCUGUUUUUGUGCAGACACGAGUGACUGUGAACGUGUUAGUUUCCAAGUGGUUCAUCUUUCGUAUACAAUUUUGUAGUAUUUGUUUUUUUUUAUUUUUAUUUUAAAACAAAACAAUUUCCUUUUUUGCGGCGAUCGGACGGUGAAAGGACGCCUAAACUUCAAACCUUAUGAAUAGUAAUCGUUGGAUCAGAGUAUUUUUAACAACAACCGUACGAUCAAAAUUUUCUCUCAAAUCUAUCCGUCUAAUAUAAUCGAGAAAUUGAAAUUUCAAAAGAUGUAUAAGAGAGGGAGGAGAGAAUCUCUCUCUCUCGCUCGAAGAGGAAGAGGAAGAGGAAGAAGAAGAACUCAAAAGUAUCAGUCUUUUCUUUUUUCCGCUGUUGUAUCAAAUUUCUCUCUCCUCCUUCUUCGAGCUAAAACCCUUUAAACCCCUAAUUUCCUCUAUCUCUAUAUCAUUCGGUUCAAAAUUCGAAUUCAAAUUGCCGUUUGAGUUUUCGUAGACGCCGAUUCGGCUCGUGGGGUUUCGCAUACGGGAGGGAUUAAGAUUGGAUUUUGGAUCUUCAAUUUCUCGUGUUUAUUUUGAAUUUGUGUUUAUCUGGGGUUUCGUUGAUAAUCAAUCGUGAGCUUGUGGGGAAAAAGUUUCUGGGUUUCUUCAGACACUGAGAAAUUCGAAAUUCGAAUUCUUCUUUAGAAUGGGAGAAGGAGUCGAAUUCCCGCCAAAAAAAGAGGUUCCAGAUUCAGAAGAGUCUGAUAUUCCGACGAAGAAGUCGGCGAGGCAACUCGACUUCACUGGUGGCUCCGGCUCCGAUGUGGAGCCUUCACAGUCUAAUAAAACCUCAGCUGCAUCAAUCUCUUCAACAGCGACGGUGGUUACUCCGAUUCCACUGUCAGAAUCUCACGCCCAAAUCAGGCUUCCGUAAGUUUCAGAAUUGGGCCCUUUUUUACAAUCAGAGAUGUGAUUUUGAUUGUUCUACGUAGCUCAAGUGAGAUGUUGGGGUUUGAAGCAUGGAUCUUUAUACAGAUUUUGAUGAUUUGAGUAUCUAAGGGUUUUAAAAUAAAAUCCAAAGCUGACACUUUGUUUCUACUUGGCAGGAAAACCGAAUCUCCGAAAUCUAAGCCGAGGCCUGUAGAUGGAACCCCUCAGAAGAAAAAACACUGCAACUGUAAACACUCACGGUGCUUGAAGCUGUAAGUAUGCGAAACAUUGUCUCCAUCAACUCUUUGUAAUGCUUGAACUCUUUAUAAACUUAACAUUCUGCAAUGUUCCUUUUUUUUUGGGUCAGGUAUUGUGAAUGCUUUGCUUCCGGCGCCUACUGUGAUGGUUGCAACUGUAUCAAUUGUUUCAACAACGUUGAAAGCGAACCCGCGAGACGAGAAGCAGUUGAAUCAACUCUGGAACGGAAUCCAAAUGCGUUCAGGCCUAAAAUCGCUAGCAGUGACGCACGAGAUAACAGGGUAUAUAUAUUGUGUGAUGCUCUUUGAACUGUUGGGUUUUGUGCUUCUUAGGCAAGUCUUUUUAGAAAAAAAAUUUUAACUCAAAGUUUUUUGCAGGAGGAGGUUGGUGGAGUUGUGAUGUUAGGGAAACACCACAAAGGCUGUCACUGCAAGAAAUCGGGAUGUCUUAAAAAGUAUUGCGAGUGCUUUCAGGCAAACAUUCUUUGUUCUGACAACUGUAAAUGCUUGGGUUGCAAAAACUUUGAAGGAAGUGAAGACAGGCUAGCUCUCUUUCACGGUGAACAUUCCCACAACGUGGCUUAUCUCCAACACGCAAAUGCUGCCAUAACUGGAGCUAUAGGUUCCUCUGGCUUUGCAUCUUCUCCAGCUCCCAAGAGAAAGAAAGAUCAGGACUUUUUUUUCACCCAACCAACCAAAGAUUCAUCUAAUCAUAGGCUUGGCCAGGUAAAUCAGUCACGCAAAGUUUACUUGCUUGGCCGUCUUGUUAAUAUUCUAUAUGCUUUCCUUAUCUGUUCCCUUGGUUAAGAAAAUGAGAGAUGUUAAUAGUAUAAUUAUUGGUAUCAGGCAAAUAGUGUAAGAAUGACAUCUUCGAAACCUGUUUCUCGUCGUGGAGGCAAUGCGUCGUUAGGCCCAUCCAAAGUUUUAUAUAGGUAAAAAAUGCCUGAUUUGUUUUUCCAAGCUAAAUCUGAUCUAGAGAUCGCAGAAACUGAGUUAUACAUUUUGUUUUUUUUCUCUUUCGAAGGUCUCUCUUGGCAGACAUAAUUCAACCACAAGAUGUGAAAGCACUUUGUUCUGUUCUGGUUUCUGUAGCUGGUGAAGUAGCAGAAAAGCGGUUGGAAGAUAAGACAGAAACUUCCUUGGCUUCUUCUGCAAAAGACAAUAAUAAAGGUACCGAGGCCGAGAGAGAGGCUAGCGGAAAUCAAGCUGAUAAAUCUGGUGCUGAGGAAUCCAAUUCAGAUGGCUCUAAAAGCAGAGACCUGUCUCCAGAAACUUUGGCAUUGAUGUGUGAUGAACAAGACACUAUGUUAAUGGUUGCAGCAUCACCUAAAUGUUUGGUGGAGUCCUCCUCGCAGCUACCAAACGGGCAAGACCAGGUUUAUUCAGAGCAGGAGAAAGUAGUAUUAACCAAGUUCCGUGACUGCCUUAACCGAAUAAUCUCCUACGGAGAAUUUAAAGGUUUCCGUUUCUUAUAUCUUGAAUAGAAGUGGAGUAUGGCCAAACACAAGAAUGGUAUUCUAAAAGCUUAGUUUGUUUUUGUUUAUUUGUUGCAGAAUCAAACUGUUCUUUGUCAAGAAUGGAUCUUGACUCACCUGUACAAACCGCUGUGAAAAUCGAGCCAGUGGUUCAAGAAGGAGCAGUCGCGAAUGGAGUUUCACAAACCACGAAACAACAACCUUCUCAGCUAACCUCCUCACACGCUCAAAUUCAACAACCUCAAGCUCUCUCUGAGAAGAAAGACCAAUGAGUCAUUAAUAUUUACUCCUAACUUUACAGAGAGCAAGCAACAAUGCAGCUGAAUCUGCGUCGCCAUACUUGAUUGAUUUAUGAGGUAACGCCACCAACUUUGGCAGGUGAUUACAGAGUAUUAUCAUACAACAACUAUUCACAAAGAUUGUAUUAUUAGGCUUUCUUCUUUCUUCCAUUCACAUUCUUCCUUUUGAUUCAUUAUUGUUUGUUUACGAAUUGUUAUCAUUAUUUGUGUACAUUGCCACAUAGUCCACUCGACGAUUUUACUUAGAAAUAUAUAUAUUUUUUUAAGUUUACAUUUGAGAGAACACAACAAGAAUGUUAUUGGAAUGUUCAAACAGCUACCAUUUCGAGUCACAUCCGCAACAACAAUGAGAAAGCUUUGAUAGUUUCUGCAUUCGCAAAAAAAUAGAUAUGUCGAUGACUGAUUUUGAUAUAUUCAUCUUCUAGGAACUAGAGAAAAUUUGAUGUCACUUGUGUUUAAUAUUUGAGGAAUAAGUAAACCAAAUCAGGUUUUUGGUUUUUUUUUUUUUUCUAACGGUAUAUAUAUAUAUAUAUAACUCUCAAUGGUUUUUCAAGAAAAUAAAGAUUCAUAUCUAAGAAGGGAGAGACCUAGCUUACAUUAUGCACUUUUGUAAACACAAAUGGAAUGUUACAACAAUGUCGAAAUUGAAGACUGAAGAGACACACUCAUCCUCAUACACUUUUGUAAACCAGAAAGUCUUCUUCUGAAGGAAACUAUAUGCUUGUAGAUCUGUCGAUCGAGGCCAACGGUUUAUCUAGCGUCGAUAGAAUUUGCGGCAUUGACAUUCCACCCGAAACAACAAUCUCUGCAGAAGAUCAAUGGAUAUAAAAGCUCAGUAGCUUUCUUCAAAAUAACUCAGAAUGCAAUUCACCAAAACAUGAUGUAUCUAGGACCAUGACAGGAUUUAGAUUAUGAUAAAAGGCUUUGUGAUCUCACCUAUUCCUUCCCGGACAGAGAGAUUUGGCCUGAUAACAUCAUUGCUGUUGACAAGUAGUAUAUCCCCAAUGUAAAGGUGAUUCGUGGGAACGUAAACACAGCAAAGUUCCUCUUCGGUUGGGUAAUUCUGCAAGGACAAAAGAGCAUUAUUACAUUUGGUAAGCAAUAAUCAUAAUAAAUAAUGCCUGGAAAAACUGUGUCUACACUUUGUAUCCUUUAAGGAGAAGUUCAGGAAGCAAUAACUAAAUCCUUGUACUUUGAAGCGUUUUCACUCACCUGAAGAACAACAGUUGAUGUAAUAAACCCAAAUGCGUAUUCGCCUAUACGUGGAUGCCUGAUGAUUGCAACUUCCUUGAAAGCUUGUGUAUUUUGAUCUGGCAAAAGGUGGAUAAGAACAAAUUGAGGUUCGAAAAUUCAAUCAACCAACAAAUAAUGAGGAUUAUUUCUUUCUUUCUUUUUUUAAGCGAGACCAGGAGAUAUGGCAGUGCUGAUUUGCUUGGAGGCAUUGUAGAUGUGACGAACAAAUGGCAUCCGCUUGAUAAACCACUCCCCAAGGUUCAAAACCGAUGCCCCCAACCACGAGGACAUGAACACCCCGACCAAGAAGAUGAAUGCAAUGGACGUCAAAAAACCAAAACCUACAAAAACCAAAAUCAGACUCAUGUGAGAAACCGAAACCAGAUCGUUGAUUCGAUCAAGAAGGGACACCACACACAAUAGUGCUUACCAAAUAUGUUGAUUCCAAGUUGCGCAUAUAUCGGAGAGAAGAAUCCAUCAACAAAGUGAAUAAACCACCAUGUUAUAUAGAAAGUAAUUGCAAUAGGAAGUAGGAUAACACUGCAAAGAAAAUAAAAGCAACUUGAGGCUAGAAUUCACCAAGACAAGAUGUUUGAAUCUUUGAUAACUUCAUCAAAUACCAAAAUUACAACUCUUGGCUUAUGAGAUGCUUACCAGCCAGUCAUGAACUUCUUCGACGCCCAACCCCUAAUGAACAAGCUUAAAGUCUGCAGAAAGUAUAGCUAAAACAUUACACCAGGCUGAUCUGUGUGUAUAUGCUUGAAUGAGAAUGAACAUAACAAAAAGACUCAGAGAAUCAUUUGGAAUGCAAAUUCAUACUCUACACAAUCAGAACGUGUCACAUUACUAUGUAAGCAACCAAGAUCAGUGUUUUGCUUGGUUAACACAUUUUAUCUAAGUAAGUGUUGUUAUGAUAAGAUGGAAUCUAGGGCAAAACAAUUUCUCAGGAUAUGAACAGAAUCAACACUAUACUCGGAAAGGAACUCCGAGCUUAAAAUCAAUCGAAUUCCACUUUUAAUUUCGCAUUGAAUCUUGACAAUGAGCUAAACGAAGAACAGUUUAGCUUUCUAGAUCAGGAGGAAAAAGGUGAAAGAGAAAAUAAACCUCGUGGCUAGCUUGAUGCGGAGAAGAAGAGGAAGAGGAAGACGGCUUCGAAGUUGAACCGUCGUCUUUUUCGCCGGAAUCAGCGACGGGAAUCAGAAGCUCUCGAUCUCUUUCUCGGUUGGCCAUCACAAUCGGUGGAUUUUCGUCUCCCAUCGCCAGUAUCUCCGAGAAACAGAGGCGAUAAAGAAAUCAAACCCUCUCGGAGAAGAGAGAAGUGCCGGUGAACUCCGGGCAGAGAUUUGAACGGCGGUGAGGAAAAAACCCCCAAAAAGAUGAGACUUUUCACCGGCGACUGCUCUUUCUGUGCACAAGAAAUGGUUAAAGCUACCUUGAACUUCGAAGCUCUCUGUCGUUUUACGAUUUUCUUUUUGUAUUUGUUUUUGUUUUCUCUCUUUUUUUUUAUUACAUUAUUAUUACUUACUUCGUUAAUAUAUAAUUUUUUUGAUACUAAUUAAUUCCCUAGAUUUUGUAAUAAAAAGUGACAAUAAAAUUGAUUAAUCAAAAUAUGCAUUGUCCAAAUUAAGCUGUGAAGUUCUAUAUGGAACAUCAACAUGUCAACUGUAUUAUCUUCUUCAAAAAUUAUUUGCUAGUUUGUGGUAUCAGAUGCCAAAACUCAAUUACAUUUAUAAUUUAAGCCAUAUAAUUAUUAUUUUACUUGAAUUGCAUGUGCUUUACAGGAUAAUAUUCUAUAAUAGCUUUUAAAUUUUACAAAGGCAAAUAAAUCCAGAUAUUUCAUCAUUCGAUGUUGGAUUUACGCAUAAUCCUCCUUUAAAAAAAUUUUGAUCGAUGCAUUUUUUGUUGCAGUUUUCUAUUUUCCACAUGGAUUGGCUGGAAUAUUCUCCAUCAGCAAUGAAUUUUUGAAUUUUGUAGAAUAUAUAUCCCUUAUCGCAUGACCUUAAAAUAAUUGAGAAAUAAUCAAUUCUCAUGAAUUGAAAUUAAAAAAAAAAACAUAAUAACUGAGUUAUUAGUUCCCGAUAAAAUAACUACAAAAUUUUUAAAAUAGAAUUACAUAUUUUUAAGUAAUGAUAUAUGUUUCUUUAUGUAUUCACCAAAAAAAACUUUUUGUUUCCAAUUUAGAAAACAGGUUUAAGAUGUAGUUAAAACUCAAAAUCAACUUGACGUUUUGAUAUCAGAAUUUCAAAAACCUUUGUUUCCUAACGAUUUUCAAAAAAAAUUUCUUGUGUUUGAAGAGUUAUAUUUUCCACAUGCAAUAAGAAAUCAUUUUAUUAUAUACGACACUAAAAAGUAUAAUUCAAAAGAUUUUUGAAAUACCUCAAAGGUUUAAACUAUAAUUGUUUCGAAAAUAUGCUAACCAAUGGAGAAAAAACAAAAAACAUACCUGGAAUUAUAAGAAGAGCAACACACAGAAAUGUAAAAAAUAAGUAUUUGUGUGAAGAAGCCAUUUUCCUUCAGUUUUCAACAAUGUUAAUGUGUAGUUGAUUUCUCUUCAAAUGGUAUAUAUAGAAAAAAAAUAUACAAUAAACAUAAUUUUUUAUUAUCUUUUUGUAUAAUUAGUCAAUGUAAACAUGACAUAUGGAAGCCAAUAAAUACAACAUUGAUAUAUAUAUAUACAAAAUUAGAUAAUAUACAUUAUAUACUAUAUUUAAAUUAAGGAUAGCUUUUAUGAUAUAAAUAACUAAACAAAAAAACAACUAGACAAAGUUGUUCAAAACUGUCAAAAAAUAAAAACAAAAAGUUUAGUACAAUAAGUUCACCAACCUAAUUUAAUAACAUAUAAACAUUUUACACUUUUCGACAAAUUACUUUUCUUAUUUUUUUUUGACAAGCGGAGCAGCACCCCAUCCUUUGAGAUUUGUGAAACGUCUUCUAUGUAUAUAUUCAACAAAAAUCAAUGAAACGCAUGCAUGGAUUUUUUUUAAAACUUAAAAUAAAAUUAACAGAAAAAAUAGAGUUGGGACAAAAAUAUUAUUGGGCAACGCUGAGCAGAACAAAUGUUUUAAGUACACAAAGAAUAUCAAAAGCAUUGGUCGGCUUUAAUUAGGUCCAAAGAUGUACAGUUUUUUUUAGAUCGCGAUGAAUCUACUCACAAGAACCACAAUUUGUAUUAGUAAGUCCAAACCGCUCUGCUAAAUUCUGUGAACCAAACGAGUGGGCCACCGGUCCAGUUACAAAUUUGCUUACAAACAAAUUUGAAAACUGCUUAAGUGCUUUUUUUUUUUUUUCUACUACCUAACUAUUACAUCACUGUUGGUCGGGCUGAGGGCAGUUUUCGGGGUCGUUCUCAACCGAUUCGGUAUGAUCGAUAUGGGUGAAUAUUUGUCCUCUUACUCGGGCUCCUUUUGUAAGACUGUCCGCCCGGACAUUUUCAUUUCUCGGGAUAUGGGAGAUGACGAAAUCUGAGAAGCUUUCACGAAGGAUGCGUAGGUUUUCUAACUCAGACGAAAAAGACGGCCAAUCAGAUGGAGAUUCGGUCAUAUUCACUAGAUCAGAACAGUCGGUCAGAAAAAACACCGAUGUUAUGUGCCGUUCACUCAAACUUGACAUAGCCCACAAGAGGCAAUCCAUCUCCGCAUGGAGGGCGGAGAGGCUUCUGCGGCAUCCUUGUUGACCAUACACCUCAUUUCCUCUAACGUCCACCAGGCUCCACCCGAGUCCGCUAACAGGUCCGUGAUCGAUCCAAGAGGCAUCAAUCCGACAUGUCGGAACUCGUUGGAUCGCGGAGGUAGGUAUCUGGGGAAACGGAGGAGCUAAGGUCUCACCGGAUGCGUCCUCGUUAUCUUCUGGUUGGUUCGCGAUUCUCCAGCUCUCUGCUUCCACCUUUGCAUGGAUCAAGGUAUCUUCUGGGGAAAUUGAUUUCCCGUUAAAGAUUUUGUCGUUCCUUGCUUUCCAAAUGAACCAUAGGAUCCAAGGAUAUACAUCCUUUUGAGGAUCCAUCAUGCCUAGCUCUUUCGUUUUCCAAAAAAGAAAGCUCAUAUUUUGAUAAAUAGAGGUACUCGGGAAGAGGCCCGGAAGGGACAGGUAGUCCGAUAACGCCCAGACUUGAAGUGCCAGGGGACAUAAAAAUAAAAGGUGAUUUAUAGAUUCCUCGGGAUCUACACAUCGGGGGCAGCUUGUUUCAGAUCCCAGGUGCUGGUAUGCUAAAUUCUGGCAGGUAGCCACACAUCCUGAUAAUGCUUGCCAUAUGAAGUGUUUCAUUUUUCCGGGUGAGCGGGUUUUCCAAACCUGACUUUGCAGUACCGUAAUGCUCGGUUCCCUUAUUAUUCUAGGUUCCUGUUGUAACUUUGUCCUUCUUAUUAGGUCAUAGCCCGUCUUAACCGAAUAGAUUCCUGAUUUGGAAUGGUUCCAUGCAUAUCCAUCCAAGGUACGGUUCCGGCUAGGUCUCAACCCUAGGAUAAGGGAGACAUCUUCGGGUUGGAAGAAAUUUCUCAGAAGGGGAACAUCCCACUGCUUUGUAUCUUGUUGGAUAAAGGAGUAAACGAGUAAUCCCGGGUCCUGGUAGCCGAUCUGUGGGGUGGCUCUCGCCGGCCGAGCUCUAGUGUCCGGGAUCCAUGGUUCGCUCCAGACCCUUGUAUUUAGACCCGACCCUAUCGUCUUCUGCAAUCCCAUCAUUAGGUAUGGUUUUGCAGCUAAAAUACUCCUCCACCCAUAAGACGGGGAGUAGACUCUACGAUCUUCCAACGGGUCAGAUUGUCUAUAGUAUCGUCCUCGUAAGACCCUAGCCAGCAGAGAUGAAGGGUACUGGAUAAGACGCCAUAGCUGUUUAGCUAGAAGAGCUAAAUUGAAAUCUUGUAGAUCCCGAAAUCCUAGGCCUCCCAUAUCUUGGGGGAUACAAAUCUUGUCCCAAGCAAUCCAGUGAAUCCCUCUAUUAUUCUGUUUCGAACUCCACCAGAAAUUAGCAAUGGCACUCCGUAACUUGUCAGUCACUCCUUGGGGUAAUAGAAAGCAUGACAUGACGUAAGUAAGGACAGCUUGGGCUACCGAUUUUAUCUGAAUUUCUUUUCCACCUUUGGAAAGAAGUCUUGCAGACCAGGAAUUUACUCGGUUACUCAGUCGAUCAUGGACGUAGGAGAAAACUUUCUUUUUUGAUCCACAAAUUUGUUCUGGGAGGCCCAGGUACAUGCCCAUGCCACCCUCUGCCGAGAUUCCGAUGGCGUCCUUGAUACCUUGCUUCAAUGUCAGGUGAACUCCAUUUCUAAACAUGAUUGAUGAUUUGCCCAGAUUAAGUUGCUGUCCCGAGGCUGAGCCAUAUGUGUUGAUGAUCCUAAAGAUCUCGGUUCCUUGUUGGAUGUCCGCUCGACAGAAGAACAAGCUAUCAUCCGCGAAUAGUAGAUGGGAAACUGGUGGGCUUGCUUGGGCAAUUUUUAGCCCAGAAAUUUGGUUUUCCUUUUCUGCUCCAUUUAGGAGUGAGAUAAGAGCCUCGGUGCAUAUGAUAAACAAAAACGGAGAGAGGGGGUCUCCUUGUCUCAAUCCUCGUGAUGGAGUGAUAUGUCCUUUUGGUUCUCCGUUUAUCAACACUUGGUAGGAUACCGAAGAAAUACAAAACAUCAGAAGCUUGACCCAUCUCUCAGAGAAGCCCAACUUGAUCACUAGGGCUUUAAUGAAGCUCCAUUCCACUCUGCCGUAUGCUUUGCUCAUAUCUGUCUUGAUAGCCAUAAAGUUUUCUCUGCACACCAAGUUAGUACGAAGUGCAUGAAAAUUUUCUUGUGCCAACAGAAUAUUGUCGGUGAUCAGCCUCCUAGCCAUGAAGGCCGAUUGAGUCUCUGAGAUUAGAUUAGGUAAUGUCUUUUUAAGUCGUUUACACAUGAGCUUUGAGAUUAUCUUAUAGCUCACGUUGCAAAGGCUAAUCGGACGGAACUCCGUCAUAGCUCUAGGCUUUUCUUUCUUAGGGAUAAGACAUAUGUUGGUCUGAUUGAGUCUAGGAUCAAAAGAUCCUGAUGUGAAGAAAUCUUUAAUUUCACAAUAUCAUGGCGGAAAUCCUGCCAGAACCUUUGGUAAAACUUGCUUGUCAUUCCAUCCGGUCCCGGGGCUUUAUCUAGAUCGAUAUCGAAGAGAGCUUCUUUAAUUUCUGCUUCUGUGGGGUCUUUGAGGAGGAUCUGGUUAGAAGAUUCUGUCACUUUCUCGGUGAUAAACCGGAGUGCAUUAUCUGGGUCUAGGGGUUGUGACGAGGUGAACAAGUCUUGGAAGUAGUGGGAAGCUACCCGUUUAAUACUUCGUGCAUUUUCAACCCAAUUCCCAUUCCUGUCCCUCAGGGCGAAGAUUCGAUUCCGACUUCUCCUUUGUUUUGUGAGCGCAUGAAAGAAAUUCGUGUUUCUGUCCCCGGCUUUGUGCCAUUGUUCGCGACUUUUCUGUUUCCAGAAGGUUUCUUCCUCGCGUAAAGCAGCACAAAGGUUCCUUCUAAUAUCUUCUACUUCUUCUAAUGUUGAGUUUUCGUCGUCUUGGGCCGCAUCCAAUUGGUUUUUAAGUUCCUCAAUCAUCUUCUCUGAAUUUGAUGAUUGGGACUUUUUCCACUUAGAGAUACUCGUACGACAAUUAGCUACUUUGCGAUGGAAAUCCCGACGAGUGAUUCCAUCCAAAGAGCUCCAGCCGGAGAUUACCGUCUCUUUGAAACCUGGUUUUCCCAGCCAUCUUUUAUCAAAUCUAAAUGAUUUCUUCCUCCGGCGAUUAUCCACUUGAAUUAUGGCCAUAACGGGACGAUGGUCUGAACCCCAUAAUUUAAGGUAUUCCACCGAGGUGUGGGGGAAGAUAGAUUGCCAUUCUUCAUUCCCCACGGCUCUAUCGAGACGACAUUUGACUUUUCCGUUACGUCUUCUUCCGACCCAAGAGAAAGAAUUUCCUUUAUACGGAAAUUCGAGCAUCCCACAAUUAUCUAACAUGGUUCGGAAAGGGAUAAAAGAGUAUUCUAGUCUCCUGCGUCCUCCCCGUUUCUCAUGGUUUCCGUAGAUUUCAUUGAAAUCUCCAAUAAUAAACCAGACUUCUUUUCUAGAGAGGCUCAUUCGAGUGAGACGUUCCCAUACAUAUUCUCGGUUUUUAAUGACCGGAUCUCCAUAAACGAACGUCAAAAAGAUUUUAUGUCCGUCUAGACUAGUUUCUACAUCAAUAAGAUGUUCAUCCGAAUAGGAGAUAGUAACUGAAGGUUCAUCCAUAUAAAAAAGGGUUAGACCGCCACUUCGAUCUCUCGGUUCAACAGUGAAAACAUGAUCAUAUCCAAAAUGAACUUGCAUGUCUUGCAGAAAGUAACGCUUAUUUUUGGUCUCCGACAAAAAUAGAAAUUUCGGUUGAAAACAUUUGUAAAGUUCUUCCAAAUGAUCUUUUGUCAAAUCCGAACCAGCUCCUUGACAAUUCCACCCGAUGUCGUUCAUUUGCAAUAUGAUUUUAAAUUAUCAGAUCCAUACAAGCCCAAUGGCUAACAUUAAAAUCUUGGGUUUAGCCCAGAAUUGAAAUUAGACCCGCUAAUUUGCUUGCCCAGUAAACAAUAACUAUUAGGUCAAAAACAAAAGAUCACCGUCGCCGCUGAAGUGUCUCCGAUGAACAGUAACCACCGCCGCCGUUGUUGUCUGAAAGAUGGUGAACUCUGUAGAUCUGACGUUUUAGAAGCUAUCUUGAGCUUUGCCGUCGUCGAAGGAGAACCACGAAGACACCAUUGGAGAUAUUAGAUAGAUCUCAAAGCUUCCCACGACAAAAAAUUUGAAAAUUAUGUAACAGAUGAAAGUCUUAGCACUAGGCUAGAUGCAGAAAAACUCGCUUUUAGCGGAAGGGGAUUCAGUUCUUCAAAGAUCGUAGCUUGGACUUGGGAAGAGCAUCGACGGUGAGACCAUGAGGAAAAAUACGGAUCUGAGGAGAGAAGCAAAAGAACAGCAAUUUCAAAGAGAAUAGGGGUUGCGCAGUAAAAGCGCCAAUCUUCGUCUUCACAAGAGAGUAAGAUCUGUCCCACAUCAGGUCCAGAUCUUCAAAGGAAGGAGGAGCAGCACAGAUCUUCAAAGGAAGGAGGGGAACUCAGAUCUUCGUCUUCAACAAGUAAAAACACCGCAAACCUCAGCCACGCCGGAGAGAAAACCUGGAGAGCUUCGAAGUUCAAAACCAUGGUGGAAAGAAGAAACAGAGCGUGAGACUACAUCGGGAAGAGGGCCAGAGAGAAAAGGCCUCAAUAAUCUAAUUUCGUUCAAUGGCAUGACUUGCUUAAGUGCUUAUAUAUGAACUCAGAUAAAGAAAGUGGGAUAUUCUUAACAGGGUUAUCAAGGCAGAACAUGAUAUGUGGUUGUCUGUUGAUUGUUGUUGUUGGCAUAACUUGACGAGUUCUUGCUAUCACAUUUUUGUUUCGUUUAAGCUGUUCAACUUUUUUUCUCAAGCCCAAAAUUUCCAACCUCAACACAUGUCUCUAAACAUAUUUUCUGUAGCUUAUAAUUUUUAGGAGACAUUUUUUGACCCUUUAAGAAAU
RNAcentral lists this long non-coding RNA (16875 nucleotides) under Eutrema salsugineum. RNAcentral describes it as "long non-coding RNA (ESAL_LNC001773)". Lineage: Eukaryota; Viridiplantae; Streptophyta; Magnoliopsida; Brassicales; Brassicaceae. The record is from RNAcentral.